RNAcentral lists this small nuclear RNA (103 nucleotides) under Carlito syrichta (Philippine tarsier). The record is from RNAcentral. Lineage: Eukaryota; Metazoa; Chordata; Mammalia; Primates; Tarsiidae.
UUUCUUUGGCAGCACAUAUGCUAAAAUUGGAACAAUACAGAGUAGAUUAGUAUGGCCCCUGCACAAGGAUGAUAUGCAAAUUCAUGAAGAGUUCCAUAUAUUU